GACGAACGCUGGCGGCGUGCUUAACACAUGCAAGUCGAACGGAAAGGCCCUGCUUUUGUGGGGUGCUCGAGUGGCGAACGGGUGAGUAACACGUGAGUAACCUGCCCUUGACUUUGGGAUAACUUCAGGAAACUGGGGCUAAUACCGGAUAGGAGCUCCUGCUGCAUGGUGGGGGUUGGAAAGUUUCGGCGGUUGGGGAUGGACUCGCGGCUUAUCAGCUUGUUGGUGGGGCAGUGGCUUACCAAGGCUUUGACGGGUAGCCGGCCUGAGAGGGUGACCGGCCACAUUGGGACUGAGAUACGGCCCAGACUCCUACGGGAGGCAGCAGUGGGGAAUAUUGCACAAUGGGCGGAAGCCUGAUGCAGCAACGCCGCGUGCGGGAUGACGGCCUUCGGGUCGUAAACCGCUUUCGCCUGUGACGAAGCGUGAGUGACGGUAAUGGGUAAAGAAGCACCGGCUAACUACGUG
Molecule: ribosomal RNA, 468 nt
Filed under: uncultured bacterium
Lineage: Bacteria
Description: partial 16S ribosomal RNA
Rfam family: Bacterial small subunit ribosomal RNA
Source: RNAcentral